Molecule: transfer RNA, 88 nt
Filed under: Rhodovulum sp.
Lineage: Bacteria; Pseudomonadati; Pseudomonadota; Alphaproteobacteria; Rhodobacterales; Paracoccaceae
Also listed under: 3 other names
Description: tRNA-Ser
Rfam family: tRNA
About the family: Transfer RNA (tRNA) molecules are approximately 80 nucleotides in length. Their secondary structure includes four short double-helical elements and three loops (D, anti-codon, and T loops).
Source: RNAcentral
GGAAGGGUGGCAGAGUGGUCGAUUGCUCCGGUCUUGAAAACCGGCGAUGUGCAAGCAUCCGUGGGUUCGAAUCCCACCCCUUCCGCCA